AUUGAACGCUGGCGGCAGGCCUAACACAUGCAAGUCGAGCGGAGCGGCGGACGGGUGAGUAAUGCCUAGGAAUCUGCCUGGUAGUGGGGGAUAACGUCCGGAAACGGGCGCUAAUACCGCAUACUAUCAGAUGAGCCUAGGUCGGAUUAGCUAGUUGGUGGGGUAAAGGCCUACCAAGGCGACGAUCCGUAACUGGUCUGAGAGGAUGAUCAGUCAAACUGGAACUGAGAAACGGCCCAGACUCCUACGGGAGGCAGCAGUAGGGAAUCUUCGGCAAUGGGGGGAACCCUGACCGAGCAACGCCGCGUGAGUGAAGAAGGUCUUCGGAUUGUAAAGCACUUUAAGUUGGGAGGCGUUACCAACAGAAUAAGCACCGGCUAACUUCGUGCCAGCAGCCGCGGUAAUUC
RNAcentral lists this ribosomal RNA (407 nucleotides) under uncultured bacterium. RNAcentral's name for it is "partial 16S ribosomal RNA". It matches the Rfam family "Bacterial small subunit ribosomal RNA", at positions 30 to 526 of the family's 1533-position model. The record is from RNAcentral.